Protopterus annectens (West African lungfish) is the source of this 257-nucleotide long non-coding RNA. RefSeq lists it as uncharacterized. The record is from RefSeq and is a predicted model, not a curated record. The transcript is spliced from 3 exons. NCBI's taxonomy places the organism in Eukaryota, Metazoa, Chordata, Ceratodontiformes, Protopteridae.
UUCCUGAAUAGGAUUUUACAUUUUCCCUCAUAAGACUGGCUUCCCAGAGUUGACCGUUUUGGAAACUGUACACCUGGGUUCCUGUCCUUCCCUUGCCAAAGAAGCCCCGUGGACAUCAUUUUAAGCAUCAUUCCUGAAUAGGAUUUUACAUUUUCCCUCAUAAGACUGGCUUCCCAGAGUUGACCGUUUUGGAAACUGUACACCUGGGUUCCUGUCCUUCCCUUGCCAAAGAAGCCCCGUGGACAUCAUUUUAAGCA